RNAcentral lists this non-coding RNA (31 nucleotides) under Mus musculus (house mouse). Lineage: Eukaryota; Metazoa; Chordata; Mammalia; Rodentia; Muridae. The record is from RNAcentral.
UAAAAUGGCUUCAGCAAGAAUAAAAGAUGGA